GUACACUCCUACGGGAGGCAGCAGUGGGGAAUUUUGGACAAUGGGCGAAAGCCUGAUCCAGCAAUGCCGCGUGAGUGAAGAAGGCCUUCGGGUUGUAAAGCUCUUUUGUCAGGGAAGAAACGGUGACAGCUAAUAUCUUUUGCUAAUGACGGUACCUGAAGAAUAAGCACCGGCUAACUACGUGCCAGCAGCCGCGGUAAUACGUAGGGUGCAAGCGUUAAUCGGAAUUACUGGGCGUAAAGCGUGCGCAGGCGGUUUUGUAAGUCUGAUGUGAAAUCCCCGGGCUCAACCUGGGAAUUGCAUUGGAGACUGCAAGGCUAGAAUCUGGCAGAGGGGGGUAGAAUUCCACGUGUAGCAGUGAAAUGCGUAGAUAUGUGGAGGAACACCGAUGGCGAAGGCAGCCCCCUGGGUCAAGAUUGACGCUCAUGCACGAAAGCGUGGGGAGCAAACAAGAUUAGAUACCCCAGUAGUCC
RNAcentral lists this ribosomal RNA (473 nucleotides) under uncultured organism. RNAcentral describes it as "partial 16S ribosomal RNA". It matches the Rfam family "Bacterial small subunit ribosomal RNA", at positions 331 to 796 of the family's 1533-position model. The record is from RNAcentral.